GACGAACGCUGGCGGCAUGCUUAACACAUGCAAGUCGAACGGGAAGUCCCUGCUUUUUUGGGGUGCUCUACUUGCGAACGGGUAAGUAACACGUGAGUAACCUGCCCUUGACUUUGGGAUAACUUCAUAAAGCUUGAUCUAAUACCGGCUAGGAGCUCCUGCCGUUGGGUGGGGGUGGGAAAGUUUAGGCGGUUGGUGAUGGACUCGCGUCUUAUCAGCUUGUUGGUGGGGUAGUGUCUUAGCAAGACCUGGCCCGGUGGCCGGCCUGAGAGGGUGACCGGAUCAACUGGGAUUGAGCUACGACACAGACUACUACGGGAGGCAGCAGAGGGGAAUAUUGUACAAUGGGAGGAAGGAUGAUGCAGCACCGCAGCGUGCGGGAUGACGGCAAUCGGGUUGUAAAGCGCUUCCGUCUGUGACGAAGCGUGAGUGACGGUAAUGGGUAAAGAAGCACCGGCUAACUACGUG
Molecule: ribosomal RNA, 468 nt
Filed under: uncultured bacterium
Lineage: Bacteria
Description: partial 16S ribosomal RNA
Rfam family: Bacterial small subunit ribosomal RNA
Source: RNAcentral